This 381-nucleotide ribosomal RNA is filed under the name uncultured eukaryote. RNAcentral describes it as "partial 18S ribosomal RNA". It matches the Rfam family "Eukaryotic small subunit ribosomal RNA", at positions 592 to 976 of the family's 1831-position model. The record is from RNAcentral.
CAAUAGCGUAUAUUAAAGUUGUUGCGGUAAAAAAGCUCGUAGUUGGAUUUCUACCGAAGAUAGCCGGUCGGGUCUUCGACCUUGUAUCUGGUUUUGUCUUUGGUAUCCUCAUAGGGAACGUUUCUGCGCUUUAUUGCGUGGUGCGUUAUCUAUGACUUUUACUUUGAGGAAAUUAGAGUGUUCACGGCAGGCAAACGCCUUGAAUAUAUUAGCAUGGAAUAAUAACAUAGGAUCUUCGUCCUAUUUUGUUGGUUUCUAGGGCUAAGAUAAUGAUUAAUAGGGAUAAUUGGGGGCAUCUGUAUCAACGCGUCAGAGGUGGAAUUCUUGGAUUGCGUUGCGACAAACUACUGCGAAAGCAUUUGCCAAGGAUGUUUUCAUUGA